AGGAUUAAAGCUCCCUAACAUGUAAUUAUAGCAAGAAGCCUUUAUAACUGCCCAAAUAGACUCUCUUUAUUGAGAACUCUAAUAGGCCAAUUUGGGUUGACAUGGAAGAAGAACUUAAUGCCCCAUUUGGAGCAUCAUAUUAUCUGAGUCAACACUUAAAUGUGGGACUGCAGAAUCCCAUAUUAUAAGAGACAGACAUCUUCACCUUUCCUGACAAGCUCUGCUUCUUUAUGGAACAACCAUAAAUACAAAUUAGGAGGAAAGGUGGUUGUCUGGAAAGACACAUUUUUUUUCUCACUUUUGCUUCAUGUGUCAACUUUAAUUUGAGUGUGGCUGUGGAAGACUGGUCCCGUGAUGAUGUCUGCAAGUGGCUGAGUACCAAUGAUCUCCAUGAUUCCAUCCCAUCAUUCCAAGGAUCCAUUUUGAGACGACAGAGCAGAAAACAAGAUAUGGAGAGAACUAAAAAAUAAAGGGUCAGUGGUCUAAAAUGAGUCUCUCUGGGGAGAGAGAG
This is a long non-coding RNA of Coregonus clupeaformis (lake whitefish), 511 nucleotides long. RefSeq lists it as uncharacterized. Lineage: Eukaryota; Metazoa; Chordata; Actinopteri; Salmoniformes; Salmonidae. The record is from RefSeq and is a predicted model, not a curated record. The transcript is spliced from 3 exons.